Molecule: long non-coding RNA, 525 nt
Organism: Centruroides sculpturatus (bark scorpion)
Lineage: Eukaryota; Metazoa; Arthropoda; Arachnida; Scorpiones; Buthidae
Exons: 3
Source: RefSeq, a predicted model, not a curated record
GGUAAAUAUUAUUCUUGAAUAUAGGAUUACAGGAAAGACCAAUCUCGUUGUGAUACUCCACAGAAUCUUCUCAAGAAAGAUUGCUUAGAAAAUGAGAUAGUAAAUCCUUCAAGUAGUAAGAAAAUAAUUGAGAACAUUGAAUUAAGUGAUGCUGGAGCAGUUGUAGGAUCAGUUACUCAACUAAAGCCACAACAUAUAAAACUUUCACUUAGACCUAGGUUUUCCAGAAGUUGCCAUACAUAGGAAAAAUGAACAAUUUGAGCAAAAUGUAUCUUUGUGUAUAAAAUAUUCUCUAUAUGUUGGCCAUUUCUUUGAAACUUGGACGAACUUGUAUGUACAAAGCCAUUUCUUUUGACAGUGGCAUUCUUGAAGGAUAUACAAAUAUAAACAUCAAAUAACUCUUACUUGUUAGUUUUGAUUAAUACCAAAUGAGCUGUUGGAUUGUAUUGGGUUGUAUUAUGAUUACAUUUAAUAAUUAGAUUUAAAGUAGUUUUGCAUAGAGGUAAGCAAUUAAUUCACCAUAAU